UUAACUUUUCCAGCUAUGGGUAGAAAUGAAAAUGCUGCAUGUUUCUGCUGUGCUUUUCAUCUCAGCAUCUUGAAGUACCUGGCAAGCAUCAAUUACUCUGAGCCUCUGAUCGAGAUUUUUAUUUCUGUACGAUACAAGAAGGCUCCUCCGAGGACCUGGGUCACCAACUCGGCAUUUGGAUAGCUUGCAUAAAAGCCUUCAAAUGAGUUCCUCAUUUUCCUCGCAGUGGCGUGACAGCAGGCAUAGCUGAGCUUCAAGAGUCUCCUGUGAACAGCAGGAUUUGAACCUGUGACUUUCAGCAUCCAGCGCACAGGCUUCUACCUUAUGAGUUUCCUCUGAAAAAUCUGGGACUGAGCACUGUUGCACAGGAUAUUGGACUAGAUAGACCAUUGGUCUGAUGUGAUGCAUCACAGAAGCUAGUGACUGGGAACUGCCUCGUGAAACCUCUCUUCUUCCUGGUGUCAGGUUUUGCUCAGGUUAGUAUCCUUUGUAGAAGAGGUUCUAUUGGAUGAUGAUGAUCUUGUGUUUAUCAUCAAAUGAACUUUCAGAUUCUAUUCCCUUCCCUACAACCUAUUCCAUGCCUUGACUAUCUCUCCAGCACUCAAAAUUAGUGGAUAGAAAUAAAAUCUUUUUUAAAAAGGAUUAUUAAAUAAAUGGAUUUUAAUUUCAGUAGCUACAGCAUGUCCAGAGGCAGGAGGGCCUUCCUCCUUCACGGCUACUGACUUAAGAUUAAAUCACAGGAAGCUGCAUGACCCUUUAACUACUUCCUGUUGGAAUUCCAUGUCAACUGGCACAUUCUUAUUUUGUGUCUAUGUUGGGACUUGGGCUGGGAAAGCAGGAUGCUUUAGGCGAACUUAGUGUAAACUAUUAGCUGGGAAAUCCUGCUUCUUUUGUUACUCAACAUGUUACAAUAUCCUUUUGCUUCACCACUUGUCCAAGGCUGUAUGCGUAGUCGUUUCCUUUACCACAUUUUAUCCCAAGACGUGUGUCUUAAGGAACAGCAACCCUGUUGGAGGGCUUGAUUCUCCGUGGCUUUGCACCUUGACUUAACCUGUUUUACCAUUUCAGAGUGCUAGUGUGUCU
Long non-coding RNA from Gopherus flavomarginatus (Mexican gopher tortoise), 1083 nucleotides. RefSeq lists it as uncharacterized. The record is from RefSeq and is a predicted model, not a curated record. The transcript is spliced from 5 exons. NCBI's taxonomy places the organism in Eukaryota, Metazoa, Chordata, Testudines, Testudinidae.